CCUACGGGUGGCAGCAGUGGGGAAUAUUGCACAAUGGGGGAAACCCUGAUGCAGCGACGCCGCGUGAGUGAAGAAGUAUCUCGGUAUGUAAAGCUCUAUCAGCAGGGAAGAAAAUGACGGUACCUGACUAAGAAGCCCCGGCUAACUACGUGCCAGCAGCCGCGGUAAUACGUAGGGGGCAAGCGUUAUCCGGAUUUACUGGGUGUAAAGGGAGCGUAGACGGCGCUGCAAGUCCGGAGUGAAAGCCCAUGGCUUAACCAUGGUACUGCUCUGGAAACUGUUAUUCUAGAGUAUGGGAGAGGUAGGUGGAAUUCUUGGUGUAGGGGUAAAAUCCGUAGAGAUCAAGAGGAAUACUCAUUGCGAAGGCGACCUGCUAGAACAUAACUGACGCUGAUGCGCGAAAGCGUGGGGAGCAAACAGGAUUAGAUACCCUAGUAGUC
RNAcentral lists this ribosomal RNA (440 nucleotides) under uncultured bacterium. RNAcentral describes it as "partial 16S ribosomal RNA". It matches the Rfam family "Bacterial small subunit ribosomal RNA", at positions 338 to 795 of the family's 1533-position model. The record is from RNAcentral.